GACGAACGCUGGCGGCGUGCUUAACACAUGCAAGUCGAACGGAAAGGCCCUGCUUUUGUGGGGUGCUCGAGUGGCGAACGGGUGAGUAACACGUGAGUAACCUGCCCUUGACUUUGGGAUAACUUCAGGAAACUGGGGCUAAUACCGGAUAGGAGCUCCUGCUGCAUGGUGGGGGUUGGAAAGUUUCGGCGGUUGGGGAUGGACUCGCGGCUUAUCAGCUUGUUGGUGGGGUAGUGGCUUACCAAGGCUUUGACGGGUAGCCGGCCUGGGAGGGUGACCGGCCACCUUGGGACUGAGAUACGGCCCAGUCUCCUACGGGAGGCAGCAGUGGGGAAUAUUGCACAAUGGGCGGAAGCCUGUUGCAGCAACGCCGCGUUCGGGAUGACGGCCUUCGGGUUGUAAACCGCUUUCGCCUGUGACGAAGCGUGAGUGACGGUAAUGGGUAAAGAAGCACCGGCUAACUACGUG
RNAcentral lists this ribosomal RNA (468 nucleotides) under uncultured bacterium. Its description in RNAcentral is "partial 16S ribosomal RNA". It matches the Rfam family "Bacterial small subunit ribosomal RNA", at positions 28 to 507 of the family's 1533-position model. The record is from RNAcentral.